UAGGGAAUAUUGGGCAAUGGAGGCAACUCUGACCCAGCCAUGCCGCGUGCAGGAAGAAGGCCCUCUGGGUUGUAAACUGCUUUUGGACGGGGACAAAAAGGUCAUGCGUGACAAAUUGAGUGUACCGUCAGAAUAAGCACCGGCUAACUCCGUGCCAGCAGCCGCGGUAAUACGGAGGGUGCAAGCGUUGUCCGGAUUUAUUGGGUUUAAAGGGUGCGUAGGCGGCCAUAUAAGUCAGUGGUGAAACCCUUGGGCUUAACCCAAGGAGUGCCAUUGAUACUGUAUGGCUUGGGUUAUCUCUGGGCGGGCGGAAUGGAUGGUGUAGCGGUGAAAUGCAUAGAUAUCAACCAGAACGCCGACAGCGAAGGCAGCUCGCUGGGGAUAUACCGACGCUGAGGCACGAUAGCGUGGGGAUCAAACAG
RNAcentral lists this ribosomal RNA (422 nucleotides) under uncultured bacterium. RNAcentral's name for it is "bacterial SSU rRNA". It matches the Rfam family "Bacterial small subunit ribosomal RNA", at positions 355 to 775 of the family's 1533-position model. The record is from RNAcentral.